This 783-nucleotide ribosomal RNA is filed under the name Triticum aestivum (bread wheat). Its description in RNAcentral is "partial small subunit ribosomal RNA". The record is from RNAcentral. Lineage: Eukaryota; Viridiplantae; Streptophyta; Magnoliopsida; Poales; Poaceae.
GCAGGGAUUACCCCCGCCGGGGAAUAAACCCGGCUCAUCCAUUUUUUCUCGUUCGGUUAAGCCCCGCGUUGUAUUUCCCCGGCCCAAACCUCUCCAAACCCACGCGGAAAAAAUCAUCCACUAGCACCCCGUGGAAGGAAUCCCCGAGCGAGGCGCUCGUCUCAUCUCUCCCGAGCGACAGAAGCGGCGGCAAGGAGGCGGCGGGGACGAGUGGACGGCGGCGGCGCAACCUACCCGGAGGAGGAGGAUGCCCUCCUGCUUCGACGACCUGCCACGAAGCCCGCCGGAACCCUAGCCUCUGAUUGUCCCAUCUCCCCGGCCGCCCCCUUGCCGCGGCCGGAACCCGCUAGCUCCGGAGAAGUGGUUGCUGCAGGCGAGGAGAUCUCUGAUAUAGGCUAGCUUCGUCACCUCACAGCUGCAGCAAGACCCUGAAUUGGGCAGCAUCGUGAAGGACAAGGAGUUCUACAUAAGAAUGCUCCAGAAGAAGGACGAAGGUGCCGCGACUUGGAUCUAUUUGUGUGUGCUUUUCAGUGGAAGGCUUCAUAUCUAUUCGCUGGGUUUUGGGAGGAACUGAUAAUUAAGCUCUUGUGGUCUAUUCAACAUAUUAUAUAUUAUGUAUGCUCCAAAUUGCUAUUAUUUUUGUUAGUAUUUGUGCCCUGUUCAAAUCUUAGAAUUGUUGUUAUUGUUAGGAUAAUAAGUGUUUUAAACCUUCAGUGCUAUUGUCACUUCAGUCUGCAUCUGUGUCAUUACUACAUGAGAAUUGUUGUUAUCUAUAUGUACCAC